CAUCCUAAACAGUGAUACCACCUAAAAUCGGAAAAAAUUCCAGAGUCGAAAGUGUUGUUUAUAAUCUGGCAAGUGCAACGGUUCAAAUUUAAAAUAUUCUCGCCGAGAUUUUUGUGAUAUUCCAUGCUUAUCAGUGCCAAUAGUUCUUGUUAUUAGGUAUCUGGAGACCUAGAAUUCUUUAUGUAUCACGUGAUAAAAUUGUGACAUUUUUAAAACAGGAGCAAUUCGAAACACAAAGAACAAAAUAAUGCUCACCCGAAAUUCUGCUGGUAGUAACCAACGACGAUCUUCGAUCCUUAAGCCACCAAAAUCUCGACAGCCAUUUCAAGAUUUGGAUUUCAAUGCUUCAUCAUCUGAGACAAGUCCAGAUAGUAUAAAGAAGAGACGUGUAAGCUUUGCCGAAAAGAAGCACGUCAAAGAAUUUUGUGACCACAAGGAGCAGGGUACAAUUUGGGAUAAUACUUACGAAGAAGCUGAUCAGAAUAUCUCAAAGUCGAUGGAAACUACAAAUGAGAAUAUAAACAGUAACAAUCUGGAUAUAGAAAACAACAAAAGUGUAGAGAUCGGAAUGAGAGAAAUGGGUUCUGCAUUUGUUUGCAAUGAACAUGAGUCAAUGCAUACCGACGCAUGUACAACCAUGGAUCAAAAUAAUCCAAUCUAUUCUUUGACCAAAGUAUUUUCCAACUCAGCCACGGACAUUCAAUUUACCGAUGUCAUUGCCUGUAGUCGUGGAAAUCUGAACCAUUUAAUGUCUCAAACAAUAUUUUGCAACGAUGUUGAUUUGGACACAACUGAGAUGGUUGGUGGGAUCGAGCAGACAGUUUCUGUCAGAAGAGCCAUUGACUCUCAAUCGACAUAUACAGCUAUUGAGAAAGACAUUAAAAAACAUGAAAGUACCAUGCUUUUUAAUGACAGUGACGGCGAGAUGAAGUUCACCCAAGUUAUCAGUGGUAAAAAUAUGCAGUUUUCAACACCUAUCAAGAUAGUUCCACAUUCAGAAAAGGUGAAUAUAGAAUCUCCUAUAGAAAAUCAGACUAUAAUAUUUGAUGACUCAGGGAUGGAUCUGACUUUGACAAAAUCACACUCAAAUCCGGGCUUAGAUAAAGAAAAUAAUAUGACGAUCAACUCCAAAGCUACUCAUAAUGAUGAGCAACACAUUAAGAAUAAUUUAGAAAGCAAUUGUUGUAUGAACGAACAUGAAGUUGCUCGGGCCAUCAACAAGACUGUAUUUUUCAAUGAUUUUAGUUGCGACAUAACAAAAGCUAUCGGUAAUGUAAGACACUUGUUGCCUGUCAGGAAUUUAUCUGAAGAUAAGAUGGCAUCACGAAGAAUGGCGCCUGUGUCUAAUGAAUGUCAGACUUCCUGUAAGACUUUACUGGACAAAUCUGUUGAAUAUCAACUCAACAAUGUACCUUUUAUGACAAAAGACAUCAGGAUACUGUCAAAGCAUUGUGAUCAGGAGUUAAAAAUGUCUAAAAAGUCUGAAGAAGAUACGGCAAAAUUAAGGGAUAAAACUAUUUUCUUUAAUGACAUUGGCUGCGAAAUGACAGAGGCAAUCGAUACAUUAAGAACUGGUCCAGAUCAGAAUAGAAAUUCUAGCGAUACAAAUGAUGUGCAGCGUGUCAUGAAAUUUGAAUUGCCUGUGAGUAAACAACAUGAAAAUAUGGCAAAAUUAAGGGAUAAAACUAUUUUCUUCAGUGACAUUGGCUGCGAAAUGACAGAAGCAAUCGAUACAUUGAGAACUGGUCCAGAUCAGAAUAGAAAUUCUAGCGAUAUAAAUGACAUACAGCAUAUUAUACCAUUUGAAUUGCCUAUGAGUGAACAACAUGAAAAUAAUUUAAUGUUACAGAAAUUUAAAAGAUCUGACAAUCUUUUUUCUACCAGUAAGCCCAGCAGCAUAGAAUCUGCACCGGAAUUAGUAGUUGAAAAUAAGGAUCAGACAAACUCAUGCGAUGACUCGUGUAUGGAAUUUACUACAGCAAUUACUACAGCUAAAAACAUAGAAGAUGACAGAGAUGAAAAUCUUAUAUUGGAAAUCAAUCAUCCUGCACUAUUUAAUAAUUGCAAUAUUGAUACUACCCAGAUAAAUCCGGAAUUACAUGUAGAAGAGCAAAUCACGCAUUUGGGCACUGAUUCAAUUUCUGUUGAAAUUGAAACUCAAGAACCACAGAAUGAAAUAAACCGAAUACCUAGAGAGAGCACGAGAAAUAUUGAAAACAACGAACGCUGUGAUUCCUCAGAGAACGAAAGAGCUGAACACGAUGCUGGCAUCAUCAGCUCUCCGAGCAUAGCUCUGGAUAAUCUUAACGCCGAAGUGAACGUAAAAGAGCAAGAUUUGUCGUUCAACACAGGCAUCAUGUCAAGUGAACCACAAUUCAGUAAGAAGAGGAAGUCGGAUGAGGGUAUGGAAAUUAUGGAAACAAGCAAAUCAUCGGAUCAAAUGUUGCUAAACAAAAACUCUGAGAAUGGCUUAGUACAGCAUUUAGUUGAUAACGAAUUGGUCAAUACAAGUAACGACAGUCUGUCUAAUAUGAUUACUCCGAGGUCUAAACGGCUUAAGAUAGCAAGUCCCAAUGCUGAAGAAAACUGUGUAUUCACCAAAGAAUACUCUGUCACUAAAAACUUGGAGUUGCAGGAAAAUACGAGUUUCCAAGUGAUCAACGCACCUCCAUCAAGAAAUACAGUUAUGCAUGAAUCACAAAGCACAAUAUCUAUAGAUAGAACGAUCGGAAGCAAUUGUGUUAGUGAUGUUGCUGACGAAAAGCAAAAAAGCAGCGAAGAGAUGACUACUACAAUUCCUGCUCCAAAUUUCUGUGAAGAUCCUGAAAUCUUGAUGAUUAGUCAGAAUGACGAUUCAAAACCUGCAGCUUCACUGACUCAGACUAAAGAUGUCAUCAGCGGGAAGGAAUAUUCUUUCAUAGAAGCAAAAGGAACAGACCCAUAUUCCGAUUCAGAUUUGGAAAUUACGGAGCUGCCGCAUGUUUGUGAGGAACAGAAACCAGCCUCAGUAGAGUGUGAUAAAAGUUCGCAAAGUUUCUUGAUGCCAAAGAAAUGUGUGGAGUACAAUGACAAUUGUUGCUUUGUGAUGUUCAGUGAAGAACUUGCGAAGUAUGCUCAAAGAGAUAAUUGCAUUUGGGAAAUAAGGUCACUGGAUACAGAAAAAGUCAUAAUCGACUUUAUUUCAAAAUCCCUCGUCGUCAUAAUAAAUCUUGAAGCAAAUAAAGAGUUGACUGCACCUUAUCUAAUUACACAUAUUAGAAUAAUUUCACUUCUCCCGGAUUCUGCAGACGAUGAUAUUUCUCUGGUCCAUAAUAUACUAUUAAAAAAACUCGAUCCUGAGCAUUUGAAAUUGGUACAUCGAACAACGCAGGGUAUUUUACCUUUGCUAGACUUGAUUUCAAACAAAGUGAAAUUACUGAUAGAUUUUAUGUACGAGUUUGAUAAGCUGCGGGAUUUUCAUGCGAUAACAAGAUCGGGAAAUAGGAUAUCGUUUCAACUUCAUAGCUACAAAGUACAACUGGUGAUAAAAGUUACUGUAGAUCUUGAGCAAUUUGAAGAUAUUAGGCCAAAUGACGUAACCGUGGAAUGUCUUUUAGGUAACAUAAAAGAAAAAGAUAUCAAGCAAUUAAUCACCGGUGUGAAAAAGGAUCACAGAUUCUUGACCAGAUGGAUCGACGCCGUUAAGGAGUAUAUCGCGUUAGUUGUCGAAAAAUGACACUUAUCUGUCAAACUCUAGUUUAUUAUAUCAGAUUUUAGAAGCAAGUAACUCGAUGCCAAGCGUCCUCAAGGUGUUCGUGAAUUUUACAAGAUAAUUAGGUCCACACCUGUGAACAUCGGCGAAACUUAUUCUACCGUAUUACGGUCUGUAAUUUUCAACCCGAAGUAGUAUCAGUAGCACGAGGACAGACAUCGUAGUUUGAAACUACACCUUCUUAGAAAUGCUGUAGUGAAAAAAAAGCCCGGAUACCGCUUAUACCAAUUUUGAAUAACUUUGACGAACAGAAACAUGGUCACGUUUGCGGCAGACGAAGAUUGAUAGGAUCAAUUAUAAUUAAGGUUUGGAUUAUCGGUUAUCAAUAUAGGCCGGUAGGCGUAAAGCGUGGAGAAGAAAUUAUAUCUAAUUAACAGCGCCGUCUGAUUUUUUAUUCUUGAUUUUCGUAAAGGGCCUUCCCACGGAAGCGGCGUGGGCUUUACCUGCGAGAUAUAUCACCCGAUUUUAUGAACGGAAUGUCAAGUUGUCGACUAGAAAACUCGAUCUCACGAAGUUUCGAAAUUUUCGAGUACAGUUAUCAUAUUACUAUGUAUACGUAGGUUUAGGUACAUACGCUCGAAUACUGUAUACAUAAUGCGGUAUAUGUAUGUAAAAUUUUGUUUACAGUAGUAGAAUUUCUAAGAACAAUCGUAAACCUUGGAGCUACCGUUUGUUCACACCUAGCAUAAACAUGCCUCGUACAAAUUUAUUGAAUCCAAAACUUCCUAAUACUAUCAAGUAUAAAUCAUUCGAUGUUUUUUUAUUUUUCUAACUUUCUUCCAUUGUUAAAGGAAAAAUUCAGUAGACAUGACACAACUUUUCAAGAAAACAAAUAUCAAUUAAUUCGCCAAUUGUUAAUGCUAACACGACCGAACGUUCCUAUAAUUUUUAUCGCCCUACAAGUAUUUCCUUCGUAUGGGAUACGUCCAGCGGCAGUUAUACAGAUAGAUUGAAAGGUAAGGAAAUAAUUUAUGAAAAAGGCAAUUGAUUUGGGUAUCAGACAACAAUUCAAGAUAAUUAAAUGAAUUGUACAGAGGGAAUAGGCGAUAUUGAAAAGCGAGGAAAAUGAGGAUCAUUAGGUGUAAUGGUUAUUGGAAGAUCGUUUUAUCUCUCUUUCAAUGGGAGAGCGAUCACUGGUUUGGGUUUCGGGACUCGUUCGGCGGCAUCUCCCGAGGGCGACGCGACGGGUGUAACCGUCCGUUGGCUGGUUACAGCGCGCGAGUCCGCCCACGCUUCGUUCUGCGCGGCGCGGUGCGGACCGAUUACAACACUCACGUUCUGUCCGAAUUGCUUCAGCCAUUGAUGAAACCUGCGGAGAGUUACCGGUGGCCGAAGGUGCAGCCCCGCAGACCGGUUUCGACUUUCACGUGGCUUUAUCGAGCGCGCCCGCCUCACGCCAGCGUGCUGUUCCUUCCUAUCCAAUCGUUCGGAUCUCCGUAUGCCGCGGCUAUCUAUUUAACGUAUCGCUUUUACGCCGACCUCGUGUUCCGUAUAUUUAUAAAACCGCACGACUCCGUAGGCAAACUACCCGCACGUGUAUUCUUCAUUAUCGUAUUUGAACUUGUACAUAAGUACAUACAUCAUGCACUCAACUUUCCUAUACCUGCGGGUGCAGGUAGCGCGUCGUAAAUCACAUCUUAUACCCCAUGCUUGUACAUGUUAUACCUAUAUACUCUCUUCGAACGAUUCAUGUAACAUU
This 5450-nucleotide unclassified non-coding RNA is filed under the name Neodiprion lecontei (redheaded pine sawfly). RNAcentral's name for it is "uncharacterized LOC107224845, transcript variant X1". The record is from RNAcentral. Lineage: Eukaryota; Metazoa; Arthropoda; Insecta; Hymenoptera; Diprionidae.